GACAGAGGGUGCAAACGUUGUUCGGAAUUACUGGGCGUAAAGCGCAUGUAGGCGGCCCCGACAGGUCGGAUGUGAAAUCCCUCGGCUCAACCGAGGACGUGCAUUCGAAACCGUCGGGCUCGAGUUCCGGAGAGGGUGAUGGAAUUCUAGGCGUAGAGGUGAAAUUCGUAGAUUUCUGGAGGAACACCGGCGGCGAAAGCGGUCACCUGGACGAGAACUGACGCUGAGAUGCGAAAGCGUGGGGAGCAAACAGG
This 254-nucleotide ribosomal RNA is filed under the name uncultured bacterium. RNAcentral's name for it is "partial 16S ribosomal RNA". It matches the Rfam family "Bacterial small subunit ribosomal RNA", at positions 524 to 776 of the family's 1533-position model. The record is from RNAcentral.